AACGAACGCUGGCGGCAUGCCUAACACAUGCAAGUCGAACGAGACCUUCGGGUUUAGUGGCGCACGGGUGCGUAACGCGUGGGAACCUGCCCUUAGGUUCGGAAUAACUCCCCGAAAGGGGUGCUAAUAUCGGAUAAUGACUUCGGACCAAAGAUUUAUCGCCUUUGGAUGGGCCCGCGUUGGAUUGGCUGGUUGGUAGGGGAAAAGCCUACCAAGGCGACGAUCCAUAGCUGGUCUGAGAGGAUGAUCAGCCACACUGGGACUGAGACACGGCCCAGACUCGUACGGGAGGCAGGAGUGGGGAAUAUUGGACAAUGGGCGAAAGGCUGAUCCAGCAAUGCCGCGUGAGUGAUGAAGGCCUUAGGGUUGUAAAGCACUUUUACCCGGGAUGGUGAUGACGGUACCGGGAGAAGAAGCUCCGGCUAACUCCGUG
This 433-nucleotide ribosomal RNA is filed under the name uncultured bacterium. Its description in RNAcentral is "partial 16S ribosomal RNA". It matches the Rfam family "Bacterial small subunit ribosomal RNA", at positions 29 to 507 of the family's 1533-position model. The record is from RNAcentral.